AUAACUCAGUGGUAGAGCAUGUGCUUCACGUGCAUGAGGUCCUGGGUUCAAUCCCCAGU
Camelus ferus (Wild Bactrian camel) is the source of this 59-nucleotide non-coding RNA. NCBI's taxonomy places the organism in Eukaryota, Metazoa, Chordata, Mammalia, Artiodactyla, Camelidae. The record is from Rfam.